This 76-nucleotide transfer RNA is filed under the name Chloroflexota bacterium. Its description in RNAcentral is "Chloroflexi bacterium tRNA-Lys". It matches the Rfam family "tRNA". Rfam says of the family: Transfer RNA (tRNA) molecules are approximately 80 nucleotides in length. Their secondary structure includes four short double-helical elements and three loops (D, anti-codon, and T loops). RNAcentral also lists the same sequence under 3 other names. Lineage: Bacteria; Bacillati; Chloroflexota. The record is from RNAcentral.
GCCCGCUUAGCUCAGUUGGUAGAGCAGGGGACUCUUAAUCCCUUUGUCGCAGGUUCGAGUCCUGCAGCGGGUACCA